RNAcentral lists this ribosomal RNA (253 nucleotides) under uncultured bacterium. RNAcentral's name for it is "partial 16S ribosomal RNA". It matches the Rfam family "Bacterial small subunit ribosomal RNA", at positions 524 to 776 of the family's 1533-position model. The record is from RNAcentral.
UACGGAGGGGGCUAGCGUUGUUCGGAAUUACUGGGCGUAAAGCGCACGUAGGCGGCUUUGCAAGUUAGAGGUGAAAGCCCGGGGCUCAACUCCGGAAUUGCCUUUAAAACUGCAUCGCUAGAAUUGUGGAGAGGUAAGUGGAAUUCCGAGCGUAGAGGUGAAAUUCGUAGAUAUUCGGAAGAACACCAGUGGCGAAGGCGACUUACUGGACACAUAUUGACGCUGAGGUGCGAAAGCGUGGGGAGCAAACAGG